Molecule: ribosomal RNA, 253 nt
Filed under: uncultured bacterium
Lineage: Bacteria
Description: partial 16S ribosomal RNA
Rfam family: Bacterial small subunit ribosomal RNA
Source: RNAcentral
UACGUAGGGGGCAAGCGUUAUCCGGAUUUACUGGGUGUAAAGGGGGCGCAGGCGGCAGCGCAAGCCAGGAGUGAAAGCCCGGGGCCCAACCCCGGGACUGCUCUUGGAACUGCGCGGCUGGAGUGCAGGAGGGGCAGGCGGAAUUCCUGGUGUAGCGGUGAAAUGCGUAGAUAUCAGGAGGAACACCGGUGGCGAAGGCGGCCUGCUGGACUGCGACUGACGUUGAGGCCCGAAAGCGUGGGGAGCAAACAGG